Magnolia sinica is the source of this 891-nucleotide long non-coding RNA. RefSeq lists it as uncharacterized. NCBI's taxonomy places the organism in Eukaryota, Viridiplantae, Streptophyta, Magnoliopsida, Magnoliales, Magnoliaceae. The transcript has 2 exons. The record is from RefSeq and is a predicted model, not a curated record.
UUAUACACAGGGAAUGUGGCUGAUUUAUUUAUGAAAUGAUUGGUUAGGCCUGGGAUCGACUCAGCCCGAACCAAAAAUUGAUAAAAUUCAUCACAGCCAAUGUUGUAGCACUAACAAUACAUGGAAGAUGGCAUUCAUUACACAGCACAUAUGCAAUAUAAUUCCUUUUUGAAUUGCCUGGAUAUACUAAGAUAAGGUCGGAACUUAAAUUUUCUUCUUGAAGAUGGAUCUAGAGAGGUAAUAGCUCGUGUGUCUACCUUUUUUGGCCAACAUGAUUUGAUACGCAUAUGGAAACAUGCAACUUGAUUUAAUAUUCAAAUCUCAGAUGGUUAAGCUCAUUCCUGUGAGCGACAUUUAUAAGAUCUAUUGUAGCAGUAGUGGGAUUUAAGUUCCAACUCAAUAUUUUCCUGCAAGUGACAUUUAUUGGAUCUUUUGUAGCAGUAGCAGGAUUUAAGUUCCAAGUCAAUGUAUUCUCCUGUUGGUGGUUAAUGCUCUCUGUCCUUUCAUCAGGAAUGUGGUAGCAAAAGGAAUUCAAGCUAGUAAUUUGUAUUUGGCUAAGGCAUGGUUUCAAAGUUCUCAAACCAAUGACAAGGAGCCGGUCAUCUGAACUAAGGUAAUCUUUUUCCGGUCCUGUUGGCAGGACUUCCAUGCAAACAAAGUAGGCUUGAUGUUUGGGUUGGUGUAGGAAACAAAACCUACAGCAAGUGUGCAUUCCAUUUCCCUCUUUGUUGCUCCAAAUCAUGAGUGAGAUACAUAUUUCUCUUUUUUUCUGCUCCAAAUAAUGAGUGAGAUGUGUUCACACAUCUCACUUAACCAUUGCCAAGAUUUCAUUGACCUGUUGUUCCAAAAGGUUAAAAGCAGAGUUAUUUCUGUUUUUGUUUUUGGGUUCAA